Molecule: microRNA precursor, 100 nt
Filed under: Saimiri boliviensis boliviensis (Bolivian squirrel monkey)
Lineage: Eukaryota; Metazoa; Chordata; Mammalia; Primates; Cebidae
Description: miRNA (ENSSBOG00000005747.1)
Source: RNAcentral
UGAGGCAGGAGAAUUGCUUGAACCCAGGAGGUGGAGGUUGCAGUGAGCCGAGAUCGCGCCACUGCACUCCAGUCUGGUGACAAAGUGAGACUCCGUCUCA